GGACGACCGAGCUUCACAAGUUCAAGCGUAGAUUGAAAGUAAAUAGCCAUGGAAAUCUAAGUACCGCCAAGUUUGAUCGUAAAAACUCUCCAGCCCAAGAUGAGGAUACUCCCUCAAGAAGUUAUGGAAUUUGGGAUGGGAACCGAAUACGCACUGGGCUAUCAUCGCUGCCCGAUCCCACUACCCUUCUGUCCAGUUAUCCUACAUUUAAUCAUCUAUCUAAAUCCACGUCCUCCCUGAUCGAGCAGCAGCCGUUGCCACC
RNAcentral lists this unclassified non-coding RNA (262 nucleotides) under Hevea brasiliensis (rubber tree). The record is from RNAcentral. Lineage: Eukaryota; Viridiplantae; Streptophyta; Magnoliopsida; Malpighiales; Euphorbiaceae.